This 253-nucleotide ribosomal RNA is filed under the name uncultured bacterium. RNAcentral's name for it is "partial 16S ribosomal RNA". It matches the Rfam family "Bacterial small subunit ribosomal RNA", at positions 524 to 776 of the family's 1533-position model. The record is from RNAcentral.
UACGUAGGUGGCAAGCGUUGUCCGGAAUUACUGGGUGUAAAGGGCGUGUAGGCGGGAUAGCAAGUCAGAUGUGAAAUUCCGGGGCUUAACCCCGGCACUGCAUCUGAAACUGUUAUUCUUGAGUGUCGGAGAGGAAAGUGGAAUUCCCAGUGUAGCGGUGAAAUGCGUAGAGAUUGGGAGGAACACCAGUGGCGAAGGCGGCUUUCUGGACGAUAACUGACGCUGAGGCGCGAAAGCGUGGGGAGCAAACAGG